Molecule: ribosomal RNA, 253 nt
Filed under: uncultured bacterium
Lineage: Bacteria
Description: partial 16S ribosomal RNA
Rfam family: Bacterial small subunit ribosomal RNA
Source: RNAcentral
GACGAACCGUGCAAACGUUGUUCGGAUUUACUGGGCGUAAAGCGCACGUAGGCGGAUCGUUAAGUCGGGGGUGAAAUCCUGGAGCUCAACUCCAGAACUGCCUUCGAUACUGGCGAUCUCGAGUCCGGAAGAGGUGAGUGGAACUCCUAGUGUAGAGGUGGAAUUCGUAGAUAUUAGGAAGAACACCAGUGGCGAAGGCGGCUCACUGGUCCGGUACUGACGCUGAGGUGCGAAAGCGUGGGGAGCGAACCGG